Molecule: small RNA, 133 nt
Filed under: Klebsiella quasipneumoniae
Lineage: Bacteria; Pseudomonadati; Pseudomonadota; Gammaproteobacteria; Enterobacterales; Enterobacteriaceae
Description: RtT sRNA
Rfam family: RtT RNA
About the family: This family represents a bacterial cis-regulatory element known as RtT RNA.
Source: RNAcentral
AUAUUCUGCCCCACGGGAAAGGAUGAGAAGCUUCGACUAAGGUUCGACUCGAGCGUAGCGAGAGAACGUUGCCGCAGGCAACGGCCCGAAGGGCGAGGCGCUUUAGCGCCGAGUUAUCCUUCCCCCACCACCA